RNAcentral lists this ribosomal RNA (312 nucleotides) under Thecaphora thlaspeos. Its description in RNAcentral is "LSU rRNA". It matches the Rfam family "Eukaryotic large subunit ribosomal RNA", at positions 333 to 616 of the family's 3401-position model. Lineage: Eukaryota; Fungi; Basidiomycota; Ustilaginomycetes; Urocystidales; Glomosporiaceae. The record is from RNAcentral.
ACCGAUAGCGAACAAGUACCGUGAGGGAAAGAUGAAAAGAACUUUGGAAAGAGAGUUAAACAGUACGUGAAAUUGCCGGAAGGGAAGGGUAGGAAGUCAGACAUGCCUUUGCGGAUUCAGCUUGACCUUUUGAGGUUGUGUGUAUUUCCGUUUGGGCAGGCCAACAUCGAUUUUGGCUGUCGGAUAGGAAUGGAAGGAAUGUGGCACUCUUUUCGGAGGGUGUGUUAUAGCCUUCUAUUUGGUACGGCGGCUGGGAUCGAGGAACGCAGUGCACCCUUUUUUGGGCGGGCCUUCGGGCACCUUUGCACAUAG